This 72-nucleotide transfer RNA is filed under the name Bos taurus (domestic cattle). It matches the Rfam family "tRNA". From Rfam's summary of the family: Transfer RNA (tRNA) molecules are approximately 80 nucleotides in length. Their secondary structure includes four short double-helical elements and three loops (D, anti-codon, and T loops). Further hydrogen bonds mediate the characteristic L-shaped molecular structure. tRNAs have two regions of fundamental functional importance: the anti-codon, which is responsible for specific mRNA codon recognition, and the 3' end, to which the tRNAs corresponding amino acid is attached (by aminoacyl-tRNA synthetases). tRNAs cope with the degeneracy of the genetic code in two manners: having more than one tRNA (with a specific anti-codon) for a particular amino acid; and 'wobble' base-pairing, i.e. permitting non-standard base-pairing at the 3rd anti-codon position. Lineage: Eukaryota; Metazoa; Chordata; Mammalia; Artiodactyla; Bovidae. RNAcentral also lists the same sequence under 5 other names. The record is from Rfam by way of RNAcentral.
UCCCUAGUGGCUCAGAUGGUAAAGCAUCUGCCUGCAAUGCGGGAGACCCAGGUUCGAUCCCUAGGUCGGGAA